AGAGUUUGAUUAUGGCUCAGAACGAACGCUGGUGGCGUGUCUUAUACAUGCAAGUCGAGCGGUGUAGCAAUACAUAGCGGCGAACGGGUGAGUAACGCGUAAGCAAUCUGCCCCCUGCUCGGGAAUAGGCCGUGCCAACGCGCGGGUAAUACCGGAUAUCGUGGGGUCCUGCAUAGGACCUUGACAAAAGAUUUAUCGGCAGGGGAUGAGCUUGCGUCCGAUUAGCUAGUUGGCGGGGCAACGGCCCACCAAAGGCGACGAUCGGUAGCCGGCCUGAGAGGGUGAUCGGCCACAUUGGGACUGAGAUACGGCCCAGACUCCUACGGGAGGCAGCAGUAGGGAAUAUUGCACAAUGGGGGAAACCCUGAUGCAGCAACGCCACGCGUGGGAAGAAGCAUUUCGGUGUGUAAACCACUGUCGUGAGGGAAUAAGGCAUCGUUUCGGCGAUGUUGAAUGUACCUCGAGAGGAAGCACCGGCAAACUUCGUGCCAGCCGCUGC
Molecule: ribosomal RNA, 499 nt
Filed under: uncultured bacterium
Lineage: Bacteria
Description: bacterial SSU rRNA
Rfam family: Bacterial small subunit ribosomal RNA
Source: RNAcentral